UCCGGCUUAACGCCGGCGGUUUCUUUAGAGUGCCCAACUAAAUGAUGGCAACUAAAGACGAGGGUUGCGCUCGUUGCGGGACUUAACCCAACAUCUCACGACACGAGCUGACGACAGCCAUGCAGCACCUGUCACCGGUCCAGCCGAACUGAAGGACUCCGUUUCUGGAGUCCGCGACCGGGAUGUCAAGGCCUGGUAAGGUUCUUCGCGUUGCCUCGAAUUAAACCACAUGCUCCACCGCUUGUGCGGGUCCCCGUCAAUUCCUUUGAGUUUUAAUCUUGCGACCGUACUCCCCAGGCGGGGUGCUUAACGCGUUAGCUACGCCACUGAAGCCUAAUGGCCCCAACGGCUAGCACCCAUCGUUUACGGCGUGGACUAC
This 379-nucleotide unclassified non-coding RNA is filed under the name uncultured Rickettsiales bacterium. Its description in RNAcentral is "contains 16S-23S intergenic spacer region". Lineage: Bacteria; Pseudomonadati; Pseudomonadota; Alphaproteobacteria; Rickettsiales. The record is from RNAcentral.